RNAcentral lists this ribosomal RNA (2332 nucleotides) under Myroides odoratimimus CCUG 12700. Its description in RNAcentral is "bacterial LSU rRNA". The stretch from base 1 to 1784 matches the Rfam family "Bacterial large subunit ribosomal RNA", at positions 358 to 2925 of the family's 2925-position model. The record is from RNAcentral. Lineage: Bacteria; Pseudomonadati; Bacteroidota; Flavobacteriia; Flavobacteriales; Flavobacteriaceae.
AAGAGGGUGAUAGUCCCGUAUAAGUAAGAGAAGAUAAGAAUAGUGGUAUCCUGAGUAGGUCGGGGCACGUGAAACCUUGAUUGAAACUGGCGGGACCAUCCGCUAAGGCUAAAUACUCCUGAGAGACCGAUAGUGAACCAGUACCGUGAGGGAAAGGUGAAAAGAACCGUGAAUAACGGAGUGAAACAGAUCCUGAAACCAUACGCCUACAAGCGGUCGGAGCCCCUUCGUGGGGUGACGGCGUGCCUUUUGCAUAAUGAGCCUACGAGUUACCGUUGCUGGCAAGGAUAAGUGAUUAAGUCAUGGAUCCGUAGCGAAAGCGAGUCUUAAUAGGGCGCUUAAGUCAGUAGUGGUAGACGCGAAACCGUGUGAUCUACCCAUGGGCAGGUUGAAGUUUAGGUAACACUAAAUGGAGGACCGAACCGUUUAACGCUGAAAAGUUUUCGGAUGACCUGUGGGUAGGGGUGAAAGGCCAAUCAAACUCGGAAAUAGCUCGUACUCCCCGAAAUGCAUUUAGGUGCAGCGAUGAUCGAUAGUUACUUAGAGGUAGAGCUACUGAUUGGAUGCGGGGGCUUCACCGCCUACCAAUUCCUGACAAACUCCGAAUGCUAAGUAAUGAUAAUCAUCAGUGAGGGCAUGGGUGCUAAGGUCCAUGUCCGAGAGGGAAAGAACCCAGACCAUCAGCUAAGGUCCCCAAAUGUAUGCUAAGUUGAAAAAACGCGGUUUGAUUGCCCAGACAGCUAGGAUGUUGGCUUGGAAGCAGCCAUUCAUUUAAAGAGUGCGUAACAGCUCACUAGUCGAGCGAUCGAGCAUGGAUAAUAAUCGGGCAUAAGUAUACUACCGAAGCUAUGGAUUUGCGCAUUUAAUUGCGUGAGUGGUAGGGGAGCAUUCUAACGGCGCAGAAGGUGAUUUGUGAGAAUUGCUGGAGCUUUUAGAAAAGAAAAUGUAGGCAUAAGUAACGAUAAGGGGUGCGAGAAACACCCCCGCCGUAAGACUAAGGUUUCCUCAGCUAUGCUAAUCAGCUGAGGGUUAGUCGGGACCUAAGGCACACCCGAAGGGGGACGUCGAUGGCCAACGGGUUAAUAUUCCCGUACUACUAAUAAUUGUGAUGGAGUGACACAGUGAUGAAAGCACCGCGAACUGACGGAAUAGUUCGUUGAAGCACGUACCUAUAGGUUUGAUAGUAAAAUGCGUCGAACUUGGAGAAAUGCGAUAGUACUUUGAGUCUUCGGACAACGAGAUAGUGUGCCUAAGGGCUGUCAAGAAAAGCUUCUAAACUUAGAUUAUUAGUACCCGUACCGUAAACCGACACAGGUAGUCGAGGAGAGUAUCCUAAGGCGCUCGAGAGAUUCAUGGCUAAGGAACUAGGCAAAAUAGACCUGUAACUUCGGGAGAAAGGUCGCCAGCGCAAGCUGGCCGCAGUGAAAAGGUCCAGGCGACUGUUUAUCAAAAACACAGGGCUCUGCAAAAUCGUAAGAUGACGUAUAGGGCCUGACACCUGCCCGGUGCUGGAAGGUUAAGAGGAGAUGUUAUCGAUGAGUAAUUGUUGAGAAGCAUUGAAUUGAAGCCCCAGUAAACGGCGGCCGUAACUAUAACGGUCCUAAGGUAGCGAAAUUCCUUGUCGGGUAAGUUCCGACCUGCACGAAUGGUGUAACGAUCUGGACACUGUCUCAGCCAUGAGCUCGGUGAAAUUGUAGUAUCGGUGAAGAUGCCGAUUACCCGCAGUGGGACGAAAAGACCCUGUGCACCUUGAUCUACCCAUGGGCAGGUUGAAGUUUAGGUAACACUAAAUGGAGGACCGAACCGUUUAACGCUGAAAAGUUUUCGGAUGACCUGUGGGUAGGGGUGAAAGGCCAAUCAAACUCGGAAAUAGCUCGUACUCCCCGAAAUGCAUUUAGGUGCAGCGAUGAUCGAUAGUUACUUAGAGGUAGAGCUACUGAUUGGAUGCGGGGGCUUCACCGCCUACCAAUUCCUGACAAACUCCGAAUGCUAAGUAAUGAUAAUCAUCAGUGAGGGCAUGCCAGUGGUGAAAUUUCUUAGCUUAACUAAGACACGGCCAUUGAUACUGUUUGACUUGAAUAGUAUGGAAGUAACUAGAAUAUGUAGUGUAGCGGUGAAAUGCUUAGAUAUUACAUGGAAUACCAAUUGCGAAGGCAGGUUACUACGUAUUUAUUGACGCUGAUGAACGAAAGCGUGGGGAGCGAACAGGAUUAGAUACCCUGGUAGUCCACGCCGUAAACGAUGGAUACUAGCUGUUCGGAUUUCGGUCUGAGUGGCUAAGCGAAAGUGAUAAGUAUCCCACCUGGGGAGUACGUUCGCAAGAAUGAAACUC